This 497-nucleotide ribosomal RNA is filed under the name uncultured bacterium. RNAcentral describes it as "partial 16S ribosomal RNA". It matches the Rfam family "Bacterial small subunit ribosomal RNA", at positions 28 to 507 of the family's 1533-position model. The record is from RNAcentral.
GAUGAACGCUGGCGGCGUGCCUAAUACAUGCAAGUCGAGCGAACAGACGAGGAGCUUGCUCCUCUGACGUUAGCGGCGGACGGGUGAGUAACACGUGGAUAACCUACCUAUAAGACUGGGAUAACUUCGGGAAACCGGAGCUAAUACCGGAUAAUAUAUUGAACCGCAUGGUUCAAUAGUGAAAGACGGCUUUGCUGUCACUUAUAGAUGGAUCCGCGCCGCAUUAGCUAGUUGGUAAGGUAACGGCUUACCAAGGCAACGAUGCGUAGCCGACCUGAGAGGGUGAUCGGCCACACUGGAACUGAGACACGGUCCAGACUCCUACGGGAGGCAGCAGUAGGGAAUCUACCGCAAUGGGCGAAAGCCUGACGGAGCAACGCCGCGUGAGUGAUGAAGGUCUUCGGAUCGUAAAACUCUGUUAUUAGGGAAGAACAAAUGUGUAAGUAACUAUGCACGUCUUGACGGUACCUAAUCAGAAAGCCACGGCUAACUACGUG